Molecule: ribosomal RNA, 417 nt
Filed under: Lepiota thrombophora
Lineage: Eukaryota; Fungi; Basidiomycota; Agaricomycetes; Agaricales; Agaricaceae
Description: partial small subunit ribosomal RNA
Rfam family: Bacterial small subunit ribosomal RNA
Source: RNAcentral
UCUUAAAAUCAUUGAUACAAUGGUUCUUGAGAUAACGUAAGGGAUAAAAAUGAUAGUACCUUACUAUAAGUGUUGUCCAACUAUACUGGUGCCAGAAGACUCGGUAACGCCAGAAACGCAAACGUUAGUCGUCUUAAUCAGGCGUAAAGGGUAAGUAGGCUGCUUUGAAAGUUUGUUAAUUAAAAAGCUCUUUUUUAAAGUAAUUAAUAAUGAAUUAAAGCUAGAAUCAAAUAGGGGAUAAGCCAAAUAAUAUUUAGUGUAAGGCUAAUAUCUUUAGAUACUAAAUGGAAUACUAAGGUUAAAACUUUUAUCUAUUAAUGAUUGACGCUGAGGAACGAAGGUGAGAAUAGAAAACAGGAUUAGAGACCCAGGUAUCUCUCACUGUCAACGAUGAAUGGUAGUUGUUAGUUAAACUUA